AUGGUUACCCUGACACGGGGACCAGGAAGGUGGCAGGGAGUGAAAUCCAGGGAUUCCAGCAGCAUCCAAGAGAUGGGGAGGAAUGGAUUUGGGGCUCGGGGUGGCCCUGCCCCACCCAGAUUUUCCACACCUCCCAGCCUCUCUCUUGUCAGGGCAAGGGGCUCAAGAGCAUGGCCAGGAGCCCAGGAACCAGGAUAUGGAGGUGGGGAGGCCCCAGCCCUGUGGGAGGCCAGACCCCUGGUUGAGAGAUGGGACAGAGCCCGAGAAUCAGGUUUCCACCCCCGGAGCGGCUCCUGUUUCCCUUGGCUCACAGCCCCCCCCUCCCCGGCCAUCCGGUGGAGCCUGCUCGGCCCGGUCCGGAUCACCCGGGAUCCAGCCGGGCAGCCCAGAAGCUGCAGGGCUGGCCAGAGUGGGCGGGCAGGGCCGGAUGGCAGCCGGAUGUCUCCCGGGAGCGGCGACAGCCUCUCCGACCCGUAUGGUAGCGGCAGCGGCGGUGGCGGCGAUGGCAGGUGCCUGCGUGGCGACGGGACCGGGCCCUCUCCCCGGGCGGGUGCUGAGAGGCCGCCCCUGCCUCACGCGAGCCGAACGAACAAAACGCUCAGGUCCGGUUUGUGCGAGGGGCUCGUCGCGGGGCGGGAGCGGGCGGCCCGGGGCCUGGCGGUGCCCUCGCUGGUCUCCUGGCUGGUCCCGGUCUUCCGCGAGCGCAGUUCCGCGCGGCGCUCCGCUAGCCGCCGCCCUCACCUGCGCGCCGCUGUAGCUGACACGUCGGCGGCCACCGCAGGUGCGCUUGGGCCCGCCCCUCUUCCAGGCCGCCCUCCACCCGGCCCUCCCGGUCCCUCCGCCCUGCCGGGGCCCUGUUUGGCUUGGUCCCCAGCCCACGCCCCGGAGCUUGUGCAGGAGCUGGGCUCAGCUCACUCUUAUACGGCCCGCUCAGUCUCCGCCCCUACACACACGCGCGCGCACGCACACACACACACACACACAUACACACACUCACUCACACCUGUCCCGGCGCCCGUUUGCUCGGGGCAAAUAUUGACUCAUGGAGGCGGAGCGCCCCCUCCCCCGCUCAGGCACUGA
Molecule: long non-coding RNA, 1080 nt
Filed under: Oryctolagus cuniculus (rabbit)
Lineage: Eukaryota; Metazoa; Chordata; Mammalia; Lagomorpha; Leporidae
Description: lncRNA (ENSOCUG00000035360.1)
Source: RNAcentral